GAUACCAGGGUCAAAAGGUUAUGCUUUUUCAUGCAAGCAUGAAAAAGCAUAACUUUGGGACCCGUAAAACAUGAGAAAGUAACCCGAACAGGGCGAAUUUCGAAUGUUUUUAGGAUUGCGGGAGCAUGAAAUGCGGAGCAAUCCGU
RNAcentral lists this small RNA (146 nucleotides) under human gut metagenome. Its description in RNAcentral is "Clostridiales-1 RNA". It matches the Rfam family "Clostridiales-1 RNA". The record is from RNAcentral.